This 191-nucleotide unclassified non-coding RNA is filed under the name uncultured fungus. Its description in RNAcentral is "sequence contains ITS1". The record is from RNAcentral. Lineage: Eukaryota; Fungi.
UUAACUAUUAUAUAGUACUCAGACAUCACUAAAAACAGAGUUGUGUUUCCUCUGGCAGGCACGCAUAAGCCGGGGCCCAUGGUGUUUCCACGGCCUGCCAAAGCAACGAAGGUAUAAUAUUCAAGGGUGGGAGAUCUACCCGUAAGGGCAUGAACUCUGUAAUGAUCCUUCCGCAGGUUCACCUACGGAAA